GAUAGGUUAAGUUAAUAAGGGCGCAUGGUGGAUGCCUUGGCACUAGAAGGCGAUGAAGGACGUGACUAACUACGAUAUGCCUCGGUUAGCUGUAAGUAAGCUUACCCGGGGGUUUCCGAAUGGGGCAACCCGAUCUUAAUGAUCAUCAUCUUUUUGAAUUCAUAGAUUAGAUGAAGCAAACGCUGUGAACUGAAACAUCUAAGUAGCAGUAGGAAAGUAAAGAAAUUUCGAUUC
Molecule: ribosomal RNA, 234 nt
Filed under: Oenococcus oeni
Lineage: Bacteria; Bacillati; Bacillota; Bacilli; Lactobacillales; Lactobacillaceae
Description: partial 23S ribosomal RNA
Rfam family: Bacterial large subunit ribosomal RNA
Source: RNAcentral